ACGGCUGAACCAGCAACUUGGAAGAAUGUAAGGCAAUAGCCGACUGCAUAAUAUUAUUAAAUGUUUUUAUUUUAAUAUAAUGUAGUUACUACUAGGUAGUUUAAAUUUCUAGGUAGAAUUAUGAUGAUGACAUUAUCUAUCUAUAAGUCUUGACCAAAUUACGUGCCAGCAGUCGCGGUAAUACGUAGAAGACGAGUGUUAUUCAUCUUUAUUAGGUUUAAAGAGUACCAAGACGGUUAAUAAAGCCCAGAAUAAAUGAACACGGGGGACUCAUUGACUAGAGUUAUAUGAAAGGAAGCUAUAAGGUACUGUUGAGUGUAGAGAUAAAAUUCUUUGAUACCAGAUAAGUGGCACAGAUUUAUGCGAAGGCAUCUUCUUAUGUAAUAACUGACGUUGUAGGACGAAGGCUUUUGAAGUGAACAGGAUUAGAUACCCUAGUAAUCUAAGCAGAAAAUGAUGAAUGUCAUAGGCUACUAUUAUGAUUCUAUAAGAAAAAAGAAAAAACUUAUAUCAAAUUUGAUUCGACUAAAGAAAAGAUUGUCGGAAGGGUCUUUUCUUGAAUCAAAAGUAAAAUCUACGAAAGUGGUCUAUAAAUGAAAGUGUAAGCAUUCCACCUCAAGAGUAAUUUGGCAACAUUGGAACUGAAAUCAUUAGACCGUUUCUGAAACCAGUAGUGAAGUAUGUUGUUUAAUUAGAUGAUCCACAAAAAACCUUACCACAAUUUGAAUAUAUAUCUUUAAAGAUAUUUACAAGCGCUGCACGGCUGUCUACAGUUAAUGUCGUGAGACUUUGGUUAGUUCCAUAAAAUUAACGUAAGCCCUCAUUUUAUUUCUAAAUAAAGUUUUUUUUCUACCACAAAUGAUAAAAUUUGUGAAGAAAUAAUAGGAACAUGACAAGUCAUCAUG
This 905-nucleotide ribosomal RNA is filed under the name Pseudocyphellaria intricata. Its description in RNAcentral is "SSU rRNA". It matches the Rfam family "Bacterial small subunit ribosomal RNA", at positions 341 to 1197 of the family's 1533-position model. Lineage: Eukaryota; Fungi; Ascomycota; Lecanoromycetes; Peltigerales; Lobariaceae. The record is from RNAcentral.